AGAUACACACCCCUCCACCCAGACCUGGAAAGAUCAAUCCUUUCCACCGGUGCCUUGUAGCGAAGGGCCGCGAGAGCGUCCCUAACAGGUAAUGCCAUGCAGGUAACAGAAAUUAAGCUUUUGCCAGAAGCUGCAUCCGAAACGAUCACUGAUCCAGCAGGAGAUGGCCAGCACCCACAGGCCAACAGCAGACCAGCAUAACCGCAGCACCUUCGGAAGCCUCGACCAGGAGCAAUGGUGACCAACCUGUCCUUGAUGAAGGAGGGGAAGAGCCUCCGUGGAAACCAGAGACCAUAGCAGAGCCCCAGGACCCACAGGAUGGACAGCUCAUCCAGCAUCUGGCCCAUGAAGCUCAGGGUCAUGUGGAAGUAGGCAGAGAAGAGACCUGUAGGGAGGGGACACAUGUUAAUGCCCCGUUCCUAAAUGGCCCCCAGCCCCUACCCAGUAUCAAUUGGGAAGAGGUUAAGAGCUAUUAUUGAAUUCUGAAUGAACUGAAAGCACCCUGAUGAGGCCACCCUUGAAGUGGAGUUAUAACUGAAUGAAGGUUGGCCUGCUGUUUGGAAAGGAGAGUGAAGACACACCCACAAAGAUCAUCAUGGUCCAGACCAGGUGUACCGCUAGGUUCCUCUCCCUGGCGUAGGGGUGCAGCAGGUACAGCAUGAUGGGGGAGAUCACGAAGAAGAACAGGCUGCUCAUCUGGAGAAACAGAAAGGACUGUUCUAAAAUAAGGAUUCACAAUGUAAUGUAGUGUGUGAUGCACCUGUCCACUACAUCUAUCAUCAUUGUUGUCAUACAGGAUGGUCCACAACAGAUACAAUACAAGAGUACAGCAGACAAGUGAGUUGCAAUGUAGUUUCAGAAAGGUACAUUUCUCAGCUGGAUAUUGUAAGAAAUAAAUCAUGUACACUUACAGUGUUGAAGUACUCCACUAUGUUUUCAGAGUGCCUGUAGUUAU
Oncorhynchus mykiss (rainbow trout) is the source of this 955-nucleotide non-coding RNA. Lineage: Eukaryota; Metazoa; Chordata; Actinopteri; Salmoniformes; Salmonidae. The record is from RefSeq and is a predicted model, not a curated record.